AUCUGGUUAAUGCGAUGGGUUCUGAUUGUUUUUUUUAAGAAAGCCCAUAUUUAAUUAGGGUUUGCUUCGUCUUAGCGCUGCAGGCUGCGCCGUGUCUCUUCACAUCUCUCCGCCUCCGACCUUCAUCUAUGUAACGCUUCAGUUAUGUAUACAUUAGUCCAAGCUUUUACGUCUUUUGCUCAGAUGAAUAGUCCCACCGAACAAAAUCCCAUAAGUCAUUCUCUGCGAAGAAAUAGGAGCUACUUCAUUGAAUCAUGCAGCACUAACAGGGGAAAUCGAGUUGCUAAAAAAAUUGCUGUCCAAAGCUUGAUGUUUUUGAUGGUGCCUUGCUGCUGAUAUUGGAGAUCUUGAGUUAAUCAACUGUUUACUUAAAGCUGGUGGUGAUCUUAAUCAGAAAGACGAGAUUGGACAUUUGUUGGAGUUCUCGCUCACAUGGAAUCAAAUAAGAAUAAUAGGGAAACUCAAGAAAGUAAAAAUCUGGAGAGACGGUGAUGCCUUCAGGUUUGUUUGAAACCCUCAUGAUGUUUUUUAUCAUUUUUUCAGUAUAAUUGAAGUGUUUUUCUUUCUUAUACGGAGAAGCUCUAGAUGCUCGAAAAAGUUUCAAGGCAAGGACAAAAUUAAGUCCAAACCAUAAUAUCCUCUAGAGAUGGCUCUGUUCAGUAUAUCUAUGAACUUUAAUUUUGCUUCUUACCUUGGUCUCUCCCCUAUGCUGUUGUUACGAUCUUUACUUAAAUGUACUAAAAAUUUCAGGCAUGGAGUUUUGUUUGUGCUCUAAUUUUGUCUCGGUGUUCGGAUUUAUAGCUUUGAUUUUUUAAAAUUGUAAAAUAAUAUUUUUUUUUUUA
Molecule: long non-coding RNA, 842 nt
Organism: Brassica oleracea var. oleracea
Lineage: Eukaryota; Viridiplantae; Streptophyta; Magnoliopsida; Brassicales; Brassicaceae
Exons: 4
Source: RefSeq, a predicted model, not a curated record